This 551-nucleotide long non-coding RNA is filed under the name Phasianus colchicus (ring-necked pheasant). Its description in RNAcentral is "lncRNA (ENSPCLG00000000796.1)". The record is from RNAcentral. Lineage: Eukaryota; Metazoa; Chordata; Aves; Galliformes; Phasianidae.
GCUGACAUCAACUCUGCUGGCCUCUGUUCAGAAAAGUAAACAAAAGACAAUCAGUGUUGAGUUUGGCAUAACUAGCAAGUUCACAAAACUGCCAAAUCCUUCUCAGUGUAUUCAUCCAAUUAAUCCCCUUGAUUUAGGAGAUUUACUUAAGUGAGUAAAAUGCAGUGUAUUUGGUCUUAAAAGUGUUUGUACUAAGGUUGGGGUUUUCUAGUGAAUUAGUAAAUGCACAUUCUUCACUUACAUUCAGGUUUUAAUAAUGGUUGUUUUUGUUGUACCUUUGUAGAAAAAAAAUGAAUUCUGAAAGGCCUGCACUUACCAUGAGUAGUCCUGCCUUAAUAAACCAGUGUGCCAGAGGAGGAAUGGAAGAAGAAAAAGUUUGGCCAAAACAACAGCAACAGAACAAUUUUUCCUUGUUUCCUUCUACUAAAGGCUGGAAUUUCAGAGGGGUAAGUUUGAUGUUGUUUUAAUAUAUUUUUCCUGCUUCAUUCUGUGAGUGCUGAAAUCAUGGCAGAACAGCAGAAUAAAAAUCUUUCAUUUUGUGACCUUCUGCA